AUACGGAGGAUCCAAGCGUUAUCCGGAAUCAUUGGGUUUAAAGGGUCCGUAGGCGGGUUUGUAAGUCAGUGGUGAAAGUUUUCGGCUCAACCGGAAAAUUGCCAUUGAUACUGCAAGUCUUGUAUCAUUAUGAAGUGGUUAGAAUGUGUAGUGUAGCGGUGAAAUGCAUAGAUAUUACACAGAAUACCGAUUGCGAAGGCAGAUCACUAAUAAUGUAUUGACGCUAAGGGACGAAAGCGUGGGUAGCGAACAGGAUUAGAAACCCUGGUAGUCC
RNAcentral lists this ribosomal RNA (274 nucleotides) under uncultured bacterium. RNAcentral describes it as "partial 16S ribosomal RNA". It matches the Rfam family "Bacterial small subunit ribosomal RNA", at positions 523 to 796 of the family's 1533-position model. The record is from RNAcentral.